This 460-nucleotide ribosomal RNA is filed under the name uncultured bacterium. RNAcentral's name for it is "partial 16S ribosomal RNA". It matches the Rfam family "Bacterial small subunit ribosomal RNA", at positions 338 to 795 of the family's 1533-position model. The record is from RNAcentral.
CCUACGGGGGGCUGCAGUGAGGAAUAUUGGUCAAUGGACGAGAGUCUGAACCAGCCAAGUAGCGUGAAGGAUGACUGCCCUAUGGGUUGUAAACUUCUUUUAUAUGGGAAUAAAACGUUCAACGUGUGGGAUUUUGUAUGUACCAUAUGAAUAAGGAUCGGCUAACUCCGUGCCAGCAGCCGCGGUAAUACGGAGGAUCCGAGCGUUAUCCGGAUUUAUUGGGUUUAAAGGGAGCGUAGGUGGAUUGUUAAGUCAGUUGUGAAAGUUUGCGGCUCAACCGUAAAAUUGCAGUUGAAACUGGCAGUCUUGAGUACAGUAGAGGUGGGCGGAAUUCGUGGUGUAGCGGUGAAAUGCUUAGAUAUCACGAAGAACUCCGAUUGCGAAGGCAGUUCACUGGACUGCAACUGACACUGAGGCUCGAAAGUGUGGGUAUCAAACAGGAUUAGAUACCCUAGUAGUC